This 797-nucleotide ribosomal RNA is filed under the name uncultured bacterium. RNAcentral describes it as "bacterial SSU rRNA". It matches the Rfam family "Bacterial small subunit ribosomal RNA", at positions 119 to 923 of the family's 1533-position model. The record is from RNAcentral.
AUCGAACCUGCCCCCUUCAGGAAUAGCCCAGAGAAAUUUGGAUUAAUGCCCCAUGGCACCACGGAGUCGCAUGACAUUGUGGUUAAAGAUUUAUCGGAAGGGGAUGGCGAUGCGUAUCAUUAGCUAGUUGGUAAGGUAACGGCUUACCAAGGCAACGAUGAUUAGGGGCCCUGAGAGGGGGAUCCCCCACACUGGUACUGAGACACGGACCAGACUCCUACGGGAGGCAGCAGUGAGGAAUAUUAGACAAUGGCCGGAAGUUGAUCCAGCCAUGCCGCGUGCAGGAUGACUGCCCUAUGGGUUGUAAACCGCUUUUAUACGGGAAGAAACCUCCCCACGUGUGGGGAGCUGACGGUACCGUAAGAAUAAGGACCGGCUAACUCCGUGCCAGCAGCCGCGGUAAUACGGAGGGUCCGAGCGUUAUCCGGAAUCAUUGGGUUUAAAGGGUCCGUAGCGGGCCUGUAAGUCAGGGGUGAAAGGCCACGGCUCAACCGUGGACUGCCCUUGAUACUGCAGGUCUUGAGUCGUUGUGGAGUUGCCGGAACAUGUGGUGUAGCGGUGAAAUGCAUAGAUAUCACAUAGAACACCGAUCGCGAAGCAGGUAACUAACAACGUACUGACGCUGAUGGACGAAAGCGUGGGGAGCGAACGGGAUUAGAUACCCCGGUAGUCCACGCCGUAAACGAUGGACACUAGCUGUCGGGACUUCGGUCUCGGCGGCCAAGCGAAAGUGAUAAGUGUCCCACCUGGGGAGUACGUUCGCAAGAAUGAAACUCAAAGGAAUUGACGGGGGCCCG